Molecule: long non-coding RNA, 701 nt
Filed under: Podarcis lilfordi (Lilford's wall lizard)
Lineage: Eukaryota; Metazoa; Chordata; Lepidosauria; Squamata; Lacertidae
Source: RNAcentral
AGUCAGUCCACUGACAGGCAGUUGUGGCCUUGCAGACGCAUCAUAUCAGUACUGGAGCUGCUUGACAGAUGAGUCCUGUGGUGGUGGCGGCUGACUGUUGGCAAAUGGGUGACAGAUGGACUUGUCAGUGUCAAGGUGUCACCUGCGUCUUGUGAGGGAUAUAUGUGGCUGCCAGGCUAGGAAAACAAGCAGGUAUCCCCACAUCCUACAGACAACAACACGCAGAGGUGUCUAUCCCUGACAAAUCAAGAGGAGGAGGUAGAGGUGGAGGAUCAUUUUAUACAGAGGAAAUCAUUUUCCAUUGUGCUAGCAGCUAGUUUAUAAUCCAGUAGAAAGAUAGAUUAUGAAUCCAGCAGAGGCCAGCUAUCAGCUCUGUUCUAGCACCGGACAUCAUCAGACUGGACAUCAUCAUUUGGGAAGAGUAAUGGAGGAAGAUUAUACUAUGGUCAGUCACCACAGAGGGAGAAAUAUCUCUCUCAGUACUGGAACUCAGGCUCACCCAAUGAAACUGACCAGCAGUGGGCUAAUUCAGGACCAAGGAAAUACAUCACACAAUGCGUAAUUGGUUUAUGGGGUUCACUGCCACAAGAUGUGGUGCUGGUGGUGGCCAUUAGUUCUGGUGACUUUAAAAAAGGACUGGAGAAAUUCAUGGAGCAGAAUAGGUCUGUCAGCAUCCCAGACAGACCCUCUGUUUGUGACCC